This 274-nucleotide ribosomal RNA is filed under the name uncultured bacterium. RNAcentral's name for it is "partial 16S ribosomal RNA". It matches the Rfam family "Bacterial small subunit ribosomal RNA", at positions 523 to 796 of the family's 1533-position model. The record is from RNAcentral.
AUACGGAGGGUGCAAGCGUUAUCCGGAUUCAUUGGGUUUAAAGGGUCCGUAGGCGGGAAUCUAAGUCAGUGGUGAAAUCUUGCAGCUCAACUGUAAAAUUGCCAUUGAUACUGGAUUUCUUGAAUUAGUGUGAAGUGGUUAGAAUGUGUAGUGUAGCGGUGAAAUGCAUAGAUAUUACACAGAAUACCAAUUGCGAAGGCAGAUCACUAACACUAUAUUGACGCUAAGGGACGAAAGCGUGGGGAGCGAACAGGAUUAGAAACCCGGGUAGUCC